This 248-nucleotide ribosomal RNA is filed under the name uncultured bacterium. RNAcentral's name for it is "partial 16S ribosomal RNA". It matches the Rfam family "Bacterial small subunit ribosomal RNA", at positions 526 to 779 of the family's 1533-position model. The record is from RNAcentral.
CGUAGGCGCAAGCGUUGUCCGGAAUCAUUGGGCGUAAAGCGCGUGUAGGCGGCUGAGUAAGUCUGCUGUGAAGUCCAGGGCUCAACCCUGGAUGCCGCAGAUACUGCUUGGCUAGAGUACGGGAGGGCGAGUGGAAUUCCUGGUGUAGCGGUGGAAUGCGCAGAUAUCAGGAGGAACACCUAUGGCGAAGGCAGCUCGCUGGAACGUUACUGACGCUGAGACGCGAAAGCGUGGGAGCAAACAGGAUU